CUGGAUUAUUAUGUGUUUCGUGCCUCGAUUUUCGUCUUGUUUUCACUUUCGGUUUCUCGUCUCGGAUUUGUUCGCCUCGUUCUUUGAUGUCCCGGUUUUGAUCUCACGCUUCCUCUUAUGGUUUUCAGCUUCUCGUCUACGUUUUCGGACUUGUUAUAUACAAGAAACAGUAUUGAACGAUUCUCAGCAUUGAGUCUUCAAGUCUCGAGUCCUUAGGUGCGUUCGAGCUCAUGCUGCGCUGUGCAGACCGAUCGGCGAGAUUAGCCGGAAGCAGUCGGGGAGGAGCUGAAAACGGAGCCGUCAAGUCGGACACGUUGGGAAUCUCGUUGCUUCUUUAAACAUGGCAGAUCACAUGGCGUUUGCCUACUUUAUUGCAGAUGAACUGGAAGCUAUAGAAAUACCUUUUUUGUUGGAAGAAAUGCAGCAGAAUGAACAACGACGCUCCUCCACAACAGUUCCCAAACUGGUCAACAUCUUUUUCUCAAAAGAUCAUCUGCGCCUCUCUUUUAGUUGACGCCAUCUCUCCAGGUCCGGCCUUACAAGAGACUCAAGCACAGCUGUUCUUCGUUCUGCAUGCGCUUCAUAUGCCUCAAAAAAUUGUGAGGGUUGAGGAUCUCUGCCUCCUGGACAUGCUUGUCCUGGCAGAGGUCCCCGGCUGCUCGUCUACAGAAGCACCUGCUGCCUGAGCUUGAAGAAGAGAGAUUGAUGGAGGCCUGUUUUGAGAAGGUGGAUCUUCCACACCUAGAGGAGUAAAGCAGAUAGUUCCAGGUGGUGCAGUUCCUAUCCCAGAGGACCCAAAUAGCUCAUCCAUUUGCUGCAGAAAAAGCACAAUGUGAUACGAAAGUGACUUUGUAAUAAGAUGCAAAAUUAUCUUAUACAGUGCAGUCUUAGACUUACUGUGUAGUACUCCCAGGUUUGCUUUCCCUCCCCAGUUGCAUGGCGGCGGUCCUUAACUCUUUUGUAAGUAGUUAACAUGUUGGUUAACUUUUUUCUAAUUUUUUCACUUGACAAGGUGUAUCCUUUUUGUGAAAAAGUAGUUUGUAGCUUUUUAUAAAAAGCAGUUUUGUUGCGGAAGUAGAGUUGCUGAUAAGUUUUUGUAAGGUGCAAAAGUAGCAACGUCAUUUUGUGUGUGAUUUCUGAAAAAAAGUUUUUUACCACUGCAAACACAUGCAUCUUUUUUCCAGUCUUAGGUGCCAUACCUUGUGAUUCAGGGCGGUCUAUCUGGACGGAGGAUGGGUUCCUGGCUCCUGAAGGGUUACCACCCACUACAUCGGUUUUUAGGGUGGUAGUCGGUAGGUCCUGGCUAAUGGGUGUCUGGUGCACAGGGCACUGGCUGGUUGGUGGUUUUACAAAACUGAGAUUUAGGGGUACAGGUGACUCAGUGGAGGUAGAGGGACAUAGAAAAGGAGGUUGGGGAAACACUGCAGCACAAGCUAGAUCGCUGAUACUGUAGGAGCUGUUUAGAGAGAAAGCUGAAAAUUUAGUUAUCACUUAUGUGUCCAGUAUGUGUUUGUUCAUCACAAGUGUUUACCUUGUUUUGUGUCAACGGCUGUAACUUUUGCCAUGACAUCAGAGAGGAACAUCUGGGGAAAUACUCAAAACUAUCACACAGUCCUCUCUCUGGAACUUUCUUGAAGGUCUCCAUUGACUGUGUCUUUCUAAACUUGUUUUGUGAUUUGUUUUUGUCUUUGCGUUUAAGAAUUUAUAGCCAUUAGAAUGUGUUACAAAAUUUUGCCUGUUGUUAAGAUACCUGUACCACUGCUGUUGUUUUGUUGAAAAAUUUAAUAAAAAAACUAUCACACAAA
This is a long non-coding RNA of Clarias gariepinus (North African catfish), 1805 nucleotides long. RefSeq lists it as uncharacterized. NCBI's taxonomy places the organism in Eukaryota, Metazoa, Chordata, Actinopteri, Siluriformes, Clariidae. The transcript has 2 exons. The record is from RefSeq and is a predicted model, not a curated record.